This 711-nucleotide ribosomal RNA is filed under the name uncultured Flavobacteriales bacterium. Its description in RNAcentral is "bacterial SSU rRNA". It matches the Rfam family "Bacterial small subunit ribosomal RNA", at positions 44 to 753 of the family's 1533-position model. Lineage: Bacteria; Pseudomonadati; Bacteroidota; Flavobacteriia; Flavobacteriales. The record is from RNAcentral.
AGGCCUAACACAUGCAAGUCGAGAGGGUAGAGGAAGCUUGCUUCCUUGAGACCGGCGCACGGGUGCGUAACGCGUAUGCAAUCUACCUUGUACAGAGGGAUAGCCCAGAGAAAUUUGGAUUAAUACCUCAUAGUAUUAUUGAAUGGCAUCAUUUAAUAAUUAAAGUUCCAACGGUACAAGAUGAGCAUGCGUCCUAUUAGCUAGUUGGUGUGGUAACGGCAUACCAAGGCUACGAUAGGUAGGGGUCCUGAGAGGGAGAUCCCCCACACUGGUACUGAGACACGGACCAGACUCCUACGGGAGGCAGCAGUGAGGAAUAUUGGACAAUGGGCGCAAGCCUGAUCCAGCCAUGCCGCGUGCAGGAAGACGCAUCUAUGGUGUGUAAACUGCUUUUGUACGGGAAGAAACACUCCCUCGUGAGGGAGCUUGACGGUACCGUAAGAAUAAGGAUCGGCUAACUCCGUGCCAGCAGCCGCGGUAAUACGGAGGAUCCAAGCGUUAUCCGGAAUCAUUGGGUUUAAAGGGUCCGUAGGCGGUUUAAUAAGUCAGUGGUGAAAGCCCAUCGCUCAACGAUGGAACGGCCAUUGAUACUGUUAGACUUGAAUUACAAGGAAGUAACUAGAAUAUGUAGUGUAGCGGUGAAAUGCUUAGAUAUUACAUGGAAUACCAAUUGCGAAGGCAGGUUACUACUUGUGGAUUGACGCUGAUGGA